AUGAAUGGGAAACACUAUAUAUAUAUAUAUAAUAUAUAUAUAUAUAUAUACACAUAGUGUUUCCCAUUCAUC
RNAcentral lists this microRNA precursor (72 nucleotides) under Podarcis lilfordi (Lilford's wall lizard). The record is from RNAcentral. Lineage: Eukaryota; Metazoa; Chordata; Lepidosauria; Squamata; Lacertidae.